GGCCGGGAAAGGCGGAGGCUCCGGCAGCCCCGAGCCUCCGGAAUGCGCGGGGGAAGGGGGCAUCAGCCGCUCUCCGCGGCAGUGCCCCUGCGCUAAUACACCGGGAAACCUCUCCAGAGCUCGUUGCCACGUUGUUGAGGUGCUAAUGAUAAUUUCUACAGUAUUAUCUUCGCUAAUACCUCCAUUUACAUUCUUAUCCUGGAGAAAGAGAGGAAAAUUGAAGAGGUUAUGUCACCAAUGUGGUAGUGUACAAAAACUUUGCUCCAAAUCAGGAGGAGGGAAUAAAAACAUACGAAAAAUACACUUUUCCAUACGCUGACUUGCUGCAUGGGUAAACAUUGGAACAUGGAUUUAUCUUAACCAUUUUGAAAGUGAAAUGUCUUAUGUUUAUCCCAGAUGUUGAGGGCAUGAUCCUUGUGAUGUGAAUUCCUGAAGAAACCAGCACAAAAGAGAGGAAUAGAAGAAAGGGUGGUAUUGGAUGAUACCAGAGUUCCAACAAGGAGGGGGAACAGGGCAGGCAGGUACCAAAGCGAAGCAACUACAUGGUACAGCAAUGGGAGAGAACACAAGAUUAUAAUGUAUCAAAGCAGAGACAGAAAUGAUAUUGCCUGGGACAAUGACUUGGAUUCAUCAACUUCAGAUCCAGCAGACUCAAACUGGGAAGGAGACUUAUCCUCUUCUGAUGCGGAACACACCUCUGCCUAAAUCAAGGCGUCCUCCAAGAGGAACUCAGCGUGAGUCCCUGACAGACCAGGCAGCAGUCAGACACCAAGCAAUUAGGGACAAGGACUUUGGCUUGGCUGAAGAGCUGCUUUUAGCUUUGCCAGUCAGGGAUGCCAGAGAGGGUGUCAACUCACUGGAGCCACUAAAUCAUGGGGACACUAAAAAUGCUGCUUGUAAAAGCUCUGGUGUUGACUCAGUCAGUGGGAACUCCUGAAGGGACUUACACUGAAAUAAAGCAAGGGACAUCAGAGUCAUUUCUUACAUUUGUAGAUCACCUGAGAGAUGCCAUAGAGAGACAAUGUAAGGAUGACUUGGUACAUCUCUAUCUGAUCUUGCCUUUGUUAAUGCCAAUGAAGAAUGUAAACUAAUAAUUAGAGCUUUGCCUGAUCCACAGCCUUCUAUACAUCAAAUGAUUAAGGCUUGUAGAGAAAAAGAAAUCUCACAGUAUAUUACAAAAACUAUUACUGCUCUUAAGGUAACACAUAAAGCAGAAGUAAGAGAUGACACACUUGUAAAAGCCUUUGAAGUCCUCAACUCAGCACUACAGCAAAACAACAAGACAUCACAGGACAUUAAGAAUGACAAAAGACUGUGUUUCCAAUGUGGGAAGCCUGUACCCAUAUCAAAGUAUUGCCCAGUGCCAUCACAUUGAAAACCACCUCAUUGCUGCCCUAGAUGUAAGAAGGGGAGACAUUAUGUAAAUCAGUGCUGCUCUAAGCUAGAUGUAAAUGGAAAACCCCUGUCCAGCAUCUCUUCUGGGCUUCUUCAGUUCAGUUGCAGGGAAAGCAGUCAUCACCAAAGAGAACAACACCUAAUGUGCAGUCUAAUCCAUACAGAAAUCCAUUACAGUAUGGAGCACUAUCACAGUGGGGAGUAAAAAUAGAAAUGGAUUUUUAAUUGGAGUCAUUUAUUAUAGAUACAUCUGAGUUAAGUUAUAUUUUAGUAGUUUGUCAAUAUUAAGAUUAAUUUGUAUGCCUUAGUUUAAGUAUAGGCUAAGUAUUGCUCAGUUAAAUUGUUAUUUUAAGUUUGGUGAAGUGUUGGAGUCCAUGUUUCCAUGGAUCCCCCAGAGAGUGAGAAGUGCAGGAAUUGAAUUAAAACCUUUAGAAAAAUUAAAAUAUAUAAAGCCACACACACACACACAAAGAUUUAAGCCUCAGUUUUAAGCUUCAUGUACCCUAAGUGCCUAAUUGCUAGUAUAGAAGUACAGAGCUUCAGGCCUAGCGAUAGAGUUUAGACACAACAAAAAUAGAGUAGAGUACUGUUUAUAAUUUUUGGUAUGAAUUUUGUGCAAAUAAAAUAAAGCUCCUCACAUAUGCUAAGUUUUUAUGCAUAACAAGAUAGAAUUUUUAUGUUAGCAAGAUAGAGCUUUUGCACUGAUAGAUAUACUAUAUGUGUAGGUUUUUGAUACUAUUUUUCGUAGUUUUUCAUAGUUUUAUGAACUUUAAGAAUUGUACCUAGAUUGGGUAGUGUAUAGAUAAAGGCAUGAAUAUGCAUUUGUAACAUAUGGAUAAAAAGCCUCUGGGUUGGAAGUGGAGGUAUUGAUUGAUCAAUCCCAUCUAUCGAUCCAACCUCCAUCUUCUGCAGCCUGGGGAAUGAGGCUUGCCAGGGAGCUGAAAUGGGAUUCUGAAGAUACCAUCUAUUGUAGUCUUUGUUGCCUGGGAUUGGGGCCCCAGGGUCCCUUUCCCCUUUCUUUUCCCUUUGUGGCAUUUGCCCCAGAACUCUGUUUGGGGCUGCUGGGGCUUCUGUGUGGGUUUGGGACCCUGGGACCCCUUCCUGCCUCUGCAACCCCACAGCCAGGAACCCUGCUUGGGAUUAAUGAUCCCGGGACCCCUUCCUGCCUCUGCGACCCUGUAGCCAGGAACCAUGCUUGGGGUCAGGAGUUGGAGGUUGUUUUAUCCUAAGGCUGGAAUGUUAUGUUAAAUUCCAUGUUAAGACUACUGUUUAUUCUGGUAUUUUAUUUCUAAGACUUUAUGCUCACAACUGAUUGUAAGACUGCUCAUCUAGGACUCUCACACCUUCAGAUAUAUGCUUUCAUGUGAUAAACAACUUUGCAUAAGACUUGAAAACAUUCUUGGACCUUUAAGAUCUAUUAACCUGUAGAGAUGGCCUUGGCAGUUAAGUUUGGGCCUUGUUAAGUUUAGGUUACUUUUAAGUUUUGAUAAGUUCAAGUUUUAUAAAAUUUAGAUGAUAAUAAGUCUAUAUUCUAUUAAUUUAAGGUUUUAUUGCAUAUGGGUUUUUUUGGGGCGUUAUAAGUAUAUGGUAAUUUAGAAAGGUGUUAUUUCAACUUCCUAGGAUGAUUAGUAUUGAUAUAUUUGUUAUAUGAUGUGAAUUUGUUAGUUUUCCUUAUUUACAGUUGAUUUUUAAUAUGCUUUAAUAUCCUUCUUUUAAUUAUCCAAAGACACAUGUCAUUUCAAGAUCUUUCUUUUUAUUUUUUAACUGUCUAAGUAUUUUAUAACUGCUAUUGUUAAGAGUCUUAAACAACAACAACAACAACAACAAAAGUGUUAAGGAACAUCACUCCAGUUUAGAGCUUGAGUCCUGGCCAGACUCUUGACUCUAUCUGGAUGGAUGUUCUGCCAACAAAAGUUCAGAUGGUUUCUGCUUUAAAAAUAUAAAUUCAAGUUAUUGACAAUUUGACCCUAUAAAAUGACAGCUGAACUGAUUUUUGGAUUGGUCUUGAGCACCUUGCCUGAUAAAGGAUGUCUGGGUCCCCACUGAAAAAAGGUUCCAAAAGCUAUUUGCAGACUCUGAGAUGAUGGCACAGUAUUUUAGUAAUUUGAUUUCAUGUGUGUUAUCAUUGAUAAGUCAUUAAUUAUGCUUGCAUCUGAAAUAUUCUUAAUUAUUGUACCUGAAUUUUCCUGAUUUGUCAGUUCUUAAUAGAGUUAUGCAUUUGUUCAGAGUACCUGUGCACUUAUGUAAUAUUUGUAUUUCUAGAUAUCAAUCAUAAAUAUUGCCCAGUCUGCCAGCUGGUGCAACACACUGUAUCUACAGGAGCAGUCAACUCAUGAGAAUUUAAAUGUACAAAAAAUCCAUCUGUCAGUGCAUAUAUCUUUAAGUGCAAUUUUACACCAGUACACACAGGGAAAAAGGUUUUUUUAGUUUAGAAAUCCAGAAACAGGACAAAUUGACGGUACACUUUCUCAAUUAACCUGGGGUGAAGGGCUUGCUUGUGUUUCUGCAGAUUUGGAACCCAGGUGGAUUCCAGCAAAGAAUGUGAAAAAGACAUCAAGCACAGAAACGCGCUGACCACUCCAAGAACAGAGAAGCAUGCAGAUGUGGACUGUGCAGAGAUUCCAAUUUGCACCUGCUGUUGUGUGCUUCAGUCGCAGAAGACUGCGAACUUUGAGGAUUUUAAUGUGGGAAUCGGUAGUAUUGUAGAAUUUCUUUUAGUAGCUAUGGGGAUCAAUUGUAUGUUAUGCUUUCACCUUUUUGCUUUGCUUUUUUUAAUAGCACAGAUUUACCAGUUAGCCAACCUAAAACAAAUACAUAUGAUUAAUAAGGCUGUUAAGAGUCUACAUGCCUCAGUGAGGAGGGGGAGAUGUUGGAGACCAUGUUUCCAUGGAUUCUCCACAGAGAGAGAAAAGUACAGGAGUUGAAUUAAAGCCUUUAGAGAAAUUAGAAUAUAUAAAGCCACGUAUACAUAAAGUAGAGGUUUAAGCUUUAAUUUUAAGAAAAUACACUCCAAGUGCCUAACUGCUAGCAUAGAGUCUAGAGCUUCAGGCUUAGAGAUAUAACUUUAGACAUAACAAAAAUAUAGUGGAGUAUUGCUCAUAACUUUAGAUACAACUUCUACUCAAGUAAGAUAAAGUUUUUUAAGUUAAUAAGACAGAGUUUCUACAUUACUAAGACCUGUUUACAUUAACAGAUAUGCUAUAUGCGUAAGUUUUUGAUACAGUUUUUCAUAGUUUUACAAACUUUAAGAAUUAGACUUGGAUUGGGUAGCUUACAGAUAAAGAUAUGAAUAUGCAUUUAUGAUUUAUGGAUAAAAGGCCUCUGGAUUGGGAGUCAAGGUAUCAAUCGAUUGGUUUCUGAUCUAUUGAUCCAACCUCCACCUUCCACAGCCUGAGGCAAGAGCCCUGCCAGGGAGCCAAAACAGGAUUUAAAGGGUACUAUCUAUUGCAGUCCUUGCUGCUUGGGAUCAGGGUCCUGGGGUUCCCCUCUGCCUUUGCGGCACUUGCUGCCAGAACUCGGCUCAGGACCCUGGGACCCCUUCCUGCCACUGCGGCCCUGCUGCUGGGAACGCUGCCUGGGGACCGGAGCUGGAGCCGGAGGUUGCUUUGCUCCAAGGCUGGGAUUCUGUGCUAAAUUGCUGUUUACCCUGGUGUUUCAUCUUUCUGGGAUUUUAUGCUCAUAACUGUUGUAAAACCGCUUAUCCAGAACUCUUUUGCCUUCAGACCUAUGCAUUUAUGUAAUAAACAGCUCUGCAUAAACUUUAAA
Molecule: long non-coding RNA, 5160 nt
Organism: Prinia subflava (tawny-flanked prinia)
Lineage: Eukaryota; Metazoa; Chordata; Aves; Passeriformes; Cisticolidae
Exons: 4
Source: RefSeq, a predicted model, not a curated record